This 460-nucleotide ribosomal RNA is filed under the name uncultured bacterium. RNAcentral describes it as "partial 16S ribosomal RNA". It matches the Rfam family "Bacterial small subunit ribosomal RNA", at positions 338 to 795 of the family's 1533-position model. The record is from RNAcentral.
CCUACGGGCGGCAGCAGUGAGGAAUUUUGGUCAAUGGACGCAAGUCUGAACCAGCCAUGCCGCGUGCAGGAAGACGGCCCUAUGAGUUGUAAACUGCUUUUGUACGAGGGUAAACGCAGAUACGCGUAUCUGUCUGUAAGUCUCGAACGAAUAAGGAUCGGCUAACUACGUGCCAGCAGCCGCGGUAAUACGGAGGAUUCAAGCGUUAUCCGGAUUUAUUGGGUUUAAAGGGUGCGUAGGCGGUCGGAUAAGUUAGAGGUGAAUUCCCGAGGCUCAACUUCGGUAUUGCCUCUGAUACUGUUCGGCUAGAGAGUAGUUGCGGUAGGCGGAAUGUAUGGUGUAGCGGUGAAAUGCUUAGAGAUCAUACAGAACACCGAUUGCGAAGGCAGCUUACCAAGCUACUUCUGACGUUGAGGCACGAAAGCGUGGGGAGCAAACAGGAUUAGAUACCCGGGUAGUC